UACGGGAGGCAGCAGUGGGGAAUAUUGCACAAUGGGCGAAAGCCUGAUGCAGCUAUGCCGCGUGUAUGAAGAGGGCCUUAGGGUUGUAAAGUACUUUCAUCGGGGAGGAAAAACAAAACUAAUAAUUUUAUUUCUUGACGUUACCCGAAAAAGAAGCACCGGCUAACUCCGUGCCAGCAGCCGCGGUAAUACGGAGGGUGCUAGCGUUAAUCAGAAUUACUGGGCGUAAAGAGCACGUAGGUGGUUUUUUUAAAGUCAGAUGUGAAAUCCCUGGGCUUAACCUAGGAACUGCAUUUUGAAACUGAAAUACUAGAGUAUCGUAGAGGGAGGUAGAAUUCUAGGUGUAGCGGUGAAAUGCGUAGAUAUCUGGAGGAAUACCUGUGGCGAAAGCGGCCUCCUAAACGAAUACUGACACUGAGGUGCGAAAGCGUGGGGAGCAAACAGGAUUAGAUACCCGU
This 458-nucleotide ribosomal RNA is filed under the name uncultured bacterium. Its description in RNAcentral is "bacterial SSU rRNA". It matches the Rfam family "Bacterial small subunit ribosomal RNA", at positions 340 to 789 of the family's 1533-position model. The record is from RNAcentral.